CUUUCGAGAAUCUGCUAAGCGAGGUCGGCCCAUCCGAACUGUAGUGGUGCGCUCCUCCACCAUGAUGAAGGGACCCACCAGGCGAAAGCUCUCCUACGGCGCCACCAUACAUUAACCCCCCUGCGCCUCUCCCGCCACCACCACCACCACCAGUAAAGACAGCGCCGUGGGAGACACCGAAGGGAGGGGCGAACGAGCGGGGAAAGUAAACCCAAGACGGAGCCAAGAGAUGCGGCGGAGGAGCAAAAGCCG
Molecule: long non-coding RNA, 252 nt
Filed under: Linum usitatissimum (flax)
Lineage: Eukaryota; Viridiplantae; Streptophyta; Magnoliopsida; Malpighiales; Linaceae
Description: long non-coding RNA (LUSI_LNC000568)
Source: RNAcentral